Molecule: ribosomal RNA, 520 nt
Filed under: uncultured Glomus
Lineage: Eukaryota; Fungi; Glomeromycota; Glomeromycetes; Glomerales; Glomeraceae
Description: SSU rRNA
Rfam family: Eukaryotic small subunit ribosomal RNA
Source: RNAcentral
AGCAGCCGCGGUAAUUCCAGCUCCAAUAGCGUAUAUUAAAGUUGUUGCAGUUAAAAAGCUCGUAGUUGAAUUUCGGGGUUAGUAGGUUGGUCAUGCCUCUGGUAUGUACUGGUCUCACUGAUUCCUCCCUCCUGAUGAACUGUAAUGCCAUUAAUUUGGUGUUGCGGGGAGACUGGACUGUUACUUUGAAAAAAUUAGAGUGUUUAAAGCAGGCUAACGCUUGAAUACAUUAGCAUGGAAUAACGGAAUAGGACGUUCGAUCUUAUUUUGUUGGUUUCUAAGAUUGACGUAAUGAUUAAUAGGGAUAGUUGGGGGCAUUAGUAUUCAAUUGUCAGAGGUGAAAUUCUUGGAUUUAUUGAAGACUAACUACUGCGAGAGCAUUUGCCAAGGAUGUUUUCAUUAAUCAAGAACGAAAGUUAGGGGAUCGAAGACGAUCAGAUACCGUCGUAGUCUUAACCAUAAACUAUGCCGACUAGGGAUCGGAUGAUGUUAAUUUUUAAUGACUCAUUCGGCGCCUUAC